This 490-nucleotide ribosomal RNA is filed under the name bacterium ATR2051. Its description in RNAcentral is "bacterial SSU rRNA". It matches the Rfam family "Bacterial small subunit ribosomal RNA", at positions 290 to 792 of the family's 1533-position model. The record is from RNAcentral.
GCCUGAGAGGGUGACCGGCCACACUGGGACUGAUACACGUACCAGACUCCUACGGGAGGCAGCAGUGGGGAAUAUUGCACAAUGGGCGCAAGCCUGAUGCAGCAACGCCGCGUGCGGGAUGACGGCCUUCGGGUUGUAAACCGCUUUUAGUAGGGAAGAAGGGCUUCGGCUUGACGGUACCUGCAGAAAAAGGACCGGCUAACUACGUGCCAGCAGCCGCGGUAUACGUAGGGUCCGAGCGUUGCCGGAAUUAUUGGGCGUAAAGAGCUCGUAGGCGGUUUGUCGCGUCUGCUGUGAAACUAGAGGCUCACCUCUAGCCUGCAGUGGGUACGGGCAGACUUGAGUGGUGUAGGGGAGACUGGAAUUCCUGGUGUAGCGGUGGAAUGCGCAGAUAUCAGGAGGAACACCGAUGGCGAAGGCAGGUCUCUGGGCACUUACUGACGCUGAGGAGCGAAAAGCGUGGGAGCGAACAGGAUUAGAUACCCUGGUA